Molecule: ribosomal RNA, 445 nt
Filed under: uncultured bacterium
Lineage: Bacteria
Description: SSU rRNA
Rfam family: Bacterial small subunit ribosomal RNA
Source: RNAcentral
AGAGCGAACGCUGGCGGCAGGCUUAACACAUGCAAGUCGAGCGGGCGUAGCAAUACGUCAGCGGCAGACGGGUGAGUAACGCGUGGGAACAUACCUUUUGGUUCGGAACAACACAGGGAAACUUGUGCUAAUACCGGAUAAGCCCUUACGGGGAAAGAUUUAUCGCCGAAAGAUUGGCCCGCGUCUGAUUAGCUAGUUGGUGAGGUAAUGGCUCACCAAGGCGACGAUCAGUAGCUGGUCUGAGAGGAUGAUCAGCCACAUUGGGACUGAGACACGGCCCAAACUCCUACGGGAGGCAGCAGUGGGGAAUAUUGGACAAUGGGCGCAAGCCUGAUCCAGCCAUGCCGCGUGAGUGAUGAAGGCCCUAGGGUUGUAAAGCUCUUUUGUGCGGAAGAUAAUGACGGUACCGCAAGAAUAAGCCCGGCUAACUCGCGCCAGCAGCCGC